GCUCGUCAGGACCUUGGCUCUAGACUGCUUACUGCUACAGGUGUGCGAGGCACAGUAACAGUCUACAGUCAUGGCCACUGACGUCUG
This is a microRNA precursor of Ophiophagus hannah (king cobra), 87 nucleotides long. It matches the Rfam family "mir-132 microRNA precursor family". The record is from Rfam. Lineage: Eukaryota; Metazoa; Chordata; Lepidosauria; Squamata; Elapidae.